UGAAGCUGGAUUCGCUAGUAAUCGCGCAUCAGCCACGGCGCGGUGAAUACUUCCCGGGCCUUGUACACACCGCCCGUCAAGCCAUGGAAGCCGGGAGUGCCUGAAGUGCGUGAGCGCAAGCAGCGCCCUAAGGUAAAACCGGUGACUGGGGCUAAGUCGUAACAAGGUACC
Molecule: ribosomal RNA, 171 nt
Filed under: uncultured bacterium
Lineage: Bacteria
Description: partial 16S ribosomal RNA
Rfam family: Bacterial small subunit ribosomal RNA
Source: RNAcentral